GACGGAGGGGGCAAGCGUUGUCCGGAAUUACUGGGCGUAAAGGGCGCGUAGGCGGUCAUGUACGGCGGUGGUGAAAGCUCCCGGCUCAACUGGGAGAGGCCCGCCGCAACGGCAUGACUCGAGGGUGGUAGAGGCGGAUGGAAUUCCUGGUGUAACGGUGAAAUGUGUAGAGAUCAGGAGGAACACCCGUGGCGAAGGCGGUCCGCUGGGCCAUGCCUGACGCUGAGGCGCGAAAGCCAGGGGAGCGAAC
Molecule: ribosomal RNA, 250 nt
Filed under: uncultured bacterium
Lineage: Bacteria
Description: partial 16S ribosomal RNA
Rfam family: Bacterial small subunit ribosomal RNA
Source: RNAcentral